UACGUAGGGGGCGAGCGUUGUCCGGAAUUACUGGGCGUAAAGGGAGCGUAGGCGGUCGAUUAAGUUAGAUGUGAAACCCCCGGGCUUAACUUGGGGACUGCAUCUACUACUGGUUGACUUAGAGUACAGGAGAGGGAAGCGGAAUUCCUAGUGUAGCGGUGAAAUGCGUAGAUAUUAGGAGGAACACCAGUGGCGAAGGCGGCUUUCUGGACUGACACUGACGCUGAGGCUCGAAAGCGUGGGGAGCAAACAGGAUUAGAUACCCUGGUAGUCCACGCUGUAAACGAUGAAUACUAGGUGUAGGGGGUAUCAACUCCCUCUGUGCCGCAGCAAACGCAAUAAGUAUUCCGCCUGGGGAGUACGGCCGCAAGGUUGAA
This 377-nucleotide ribosomal RNA is filed under the name uncultured bacterium. Its description in RNAcentral is "bacterial SSU rRNA". It matches the Rfam family "Bacterial small subunit ribosomal RNA", at positions 524 to 898 of the family's 1533-position model. The record is from RNAcentral.